CUGCAAGGAGCUUCUGCUAAAACCGCCACGUCCUGUGGCAACGCAGAAGUCAGCACGUCCUGUGAG
Molecule: small RNA, 66 nt
Rfam family: Bacillaceae-1 RNA
Source: Rfam